GUACACUCCUGCGGGAGGCAGCAGUGGGGAAUUUUGGACAAUGGGCGAAAGCCUGAUCCAGCAAUGCCGCGUGUGUGAAGAAGGCCUUCGGGUUGUAAAGCACUUUUGUCCGGAAAGAAAUCCUUGGCUCUAAUACAGUCGGGGGAUGACGGUACCGGAAGAAUAAGCACCGGCUAACUACGUGCCAGCAGCCGCGGUAAUACGUAGGGUGCGAGCGUUAAUCGGAAUUACUGGGCGUAAAGCGUGCGCAGGCGGUUUGCUAAGACCGAUGUGAAAUCCCCGGGCUCAACCUGGGAACUGCAUUGGUGACUGGCAGGCUAGAGUAUGGCAGAGGGGGGUAGAAUUCCACGUGUAGCAGUGAAAUGCGUAGAGAUGUGGAGGAAUACCGAUGGCGAAGGCAGCCCCCUGGGCCAAUACUGACGCUCAUGCACGAAAGCGUGGGGAGCAAACAGGAUUAGAAACCCCUGUAGUCCCAUGA
This 478-nucleotide ribosomal RNA is filed under the name uncultured organism. RNAcentral describes it as "partial 16S ribosomal RNA". It matches the Rfam family "Bacterial small subunit ribosomal RNA", at positions 331 to 800 of the family's 1533-position model. The record is from RNAcentral.